This 369-nucleotide long non-coding RNA is filed under the name Medicago truncatula (barrel medic). Its description in RNAcentral is "long non-coding RNA (MTRU_LNC004728)". Lineage: Eukaryota; Viridiplantae; Streptophyta; Magnoliopsida; Fabales; Fabaceae. The record is from RNAcentral.
AUUUUUCUUCUGUUGUUCCUCUUUCUUAUUUUAUGCUAGUAGCUGUCAACAAGGAUUGGACCAUGUCGACUUUAGUGGCGGAAGCUAAAGACUAGGUUGUAUUAUUGAGUUGAUAUAGCUUUGUAGUUGUUUUGUAAAUUCAUAUUUGUUAUUCAUAUGUAUUUAUGUGAACAUUCAUUUCCCUUUUGGAUUUUGAGACUGUGAUGUAUAUUGUUGUGUAAUAUCUCCCUUUUAUUUUCAAAUUCCAACAACCUUAAAAGAACUUCAUAAUUGAUAUUAUUUUACUUGAAAAGUUAUAGAUUUCAAAAGCAUAAGAGUUUUUACUCUUUGUCUUCUGGUAAUUGUUGUAAGCCCAGUUAGAAGCUGUAU